This 253-nucleotide ribosomal RNA is filed under the name uncultured bacterium. RNAcentral's name for it is "partial 16S ribosomal RNA". It matches the Rfam family "Bacterial small subunit ribosomal RNA", at positions 524 to 776 of the family's 1533-position model. The record is from RNAcentral.
GACAGAGGUGGCAAGCGUUGUUCGGAGUUACUGGGCGUAAAGAGUCUGUAGGUGGUCUGUCAAGUCUUUGGUGAAAGGCCGUGGCUUAACCAUGGGAACGCCAAAGAGACUGGCAGGCUGGAGGCUGGGAGAGGGAAGCGGAAUUUCUGGUGUAGCGGUGAAAUGCGUAGAUAUCAGAAGGAAGGCCGGUGGCGAAGGCGGCUUCCUGGAACAGUCCUGACACUGAGAGACGAAAGCGUGGGGAGCAAACAGG